This 372-nucleotide long non-coding RNA is filed under the name Homo sapiens (human). Its description in RNAcentral is "HSALNT0285996". The record is from RNAcentral. Lineage: Eukaryota; Metazoa; Chordata; Mammalia; Primates; Hominidae.
AUUUACUCUUGCAGACAAACAGCCUGGCAUACAACUUAUGUUUCAACAGUUUAAGUGGUAUUUAGCUUUCCAGGCCAGUCUUCCAGAGCCCAUUUGUUUGCUAAGCAGUAAAACUAAUAGCAUAAGCUUGAGAGCUGAAAUCCAAAGCCAGUGGACAAUUUAGAGAGGAAGAGAGGAAGUCCAGGAAGAAGAAAAAGUAGGCGAAAGAGUACAGAUUAUAGAGAAGAAAAGAUGAUUGAAAGGGAAGUAUCAGAAGUCAUUGCCAGAGCCCGUGUCCUCAAUAGACGGAUUGUUCUGAAAGUAACUAGUCAUUUCUACCAAAGACCAAUAAAGUGAAACUACACAGAAGUUGCAGACAAAUCUGGACUGCAA